GUAGAGUUACCCCGCUGCAGCAAAAUCUGCAGCCGGGCCUCUCAACCCCGAAUG
Molecule: non-coding RNA, 54 nt
Filed under: Ravinvirus N15
Lineage: Duplodnaviria; Heunggongvirae; Uroviricota; Caudoviricetes
Source: RNAcentral